Molecule: non-coding RNA, 1011 nt
Organism: Physcomitrium patens
Lineage: Eukaryota; Viridiplantae; Streptophyta; Bryopsida; Funariales; Funariaceae
Source: RefSeq, a predicted model, not a curated record
UCAUUGCAGUUUGUCAGAUAAUGGGGGUGGGUCCCACAGUAAAACAUUUAGUCAAAAGAACAUAACCUAACACACACUCAACUGACAACGAAAUAAACAUAUAUGUGUUAAAACAAUAACACAUGAUGCUGAGCACCGCUAGACUGAAAGGAUGGUAGCGGUAACUUAGAUACUGCUCUCCCCUCGCAGCACCAAAGGAGCUCUCACAGCUCAGAAAGGCAAUAGGCGUGUAGCAGUGGGGAGACAACUCUGAGCAUGACGGACAGAUGUACGUUUCCACAGCUUGACCUAGUCCUGGAGCAUCAUCAGGGGUAGCAGAGUUUGAUCAGUGAAAGCAAAGAUAGACUUGGUUGGACCAGUGCAAGCAAGUCUGCAACCCAGCUGGGUCCAUCCAGAUUCACUCCCCUCACUCCCUCACUCUCCGACAGCAAAUGAUCUGCUCUGCCAUGAGCAUCCUUCACAAUGCUGCAGUCAUGUGGUGUUUUUUCGUGUUGCUAGCUGGAGGUGACGUGGGGGAGAGAGCCGCAGCCAUGGGGUUGAGGAGAAUGAGGAAGUGAGGGAGUGAGUUAGAGUAAGUAAGUGAGUGAGUAUUUUCUUCGUUUCUGACAUGGCCUUUGGAAGCUUCCACGUGCAGAAAUGGGGUCGUUCUCUGACACUUGAACGUGCCGUUUCUGUGUCUGAUUCUGCUCAUUUUUUACAAUGUUUUUGUGAACUGAGGUUUGGAGUUGGUGGCUUGGAAUAGCAGGUGGGGAGAUGAGUUGGAGAAAUGGAUAAGUGAAAAAUAGUUCCAAGAAUGUUGCAUUUCAAGCUCGAAAUAACUGCGAAAAAAGUGUUCACUUUUUUUUAUUUUAAGAGGAACAGGAAGCUGAGGCUGCAAGAAAUUUUUUUGGAUUCUUUCUUUUAUUUAGCUCUUGUGUUGAAUGUUGUUCUUGUUGGAGCCCUGUUUUGGAUUUUUUUUGGUUUUGUUUUUAUUUUUAAUUUUAAUUUGGAGACGCUAUAGAAUGUCAAACA